RNAcentral lists this ribosomal RNA (400 nucleotides) under phytoplankton environmental sample. Its description in RNAcentral is "partial small subunit ribosomal RNA". It matches the Rfam family "Eukaryotic small subunit ribosomal RNA", at positions 587 to 981 of the family's 1831-position model. The record is from RNAcentral.
AGCUCCAGUAGCGUAUAUUAAAGUUGUUGCAGUUAAAAAGCUCGUAGUUGGAUUUCUGGCGUGACGCGCCUGGCCCGCCGAUAUAGUCGUGUGAGUGCCGGUGCGCGUCUGCCAUCCUUCUAGAGAACGUUUUUCUCACUUCACUGUGUAGAUUAACGUAAUCUAGAUCUUUUACUUUGAAAAAAUUAGAGUGUUCAAAGCAGGCUUGCGCUAUGAAUACAUUAGCAUGGAAUAAUAAUUUAGGACUUUGUUUCCUAUUUUGUUGGUUUCUAGGAAUGAAGUAAUGAUUGAUAGGGAUAGUUGGGGGUGCUAGUAUUUAGCGGCCAGAGGUGAAAUUCUCGGAUUCGCUAAAGACUAACUUAUGCGAAAGCAUUCACCAAGGAUGUCUUCUUUAAUCAAG